GCCCCGGUAGCUCAGUCGGUUAGAGCCGGUCACUCAUAAUGACUAGGUCGCAGGUUCGAGCCCUGCCCGGGGCA
Molecule: transfer RNA, 74 nt
Filed under: Gordonia phage Bantam
Lineage: Duplodnaviria; Heunggongvirae; Uroviricota; Caudoviricetes
Also listed under: 2 other names
Rfam family: tRNA
About the family: Transfer RNA (tRNA) molecules are approximately 80 nucleotides in length.
Source: Rfam by way of RNAcentral